Molecule: ribosomal RNA, 433 nt
Filed under: uncultured bacterium
Lineage: Bacteria
Description: bacterial SSU rRNA
Rfam family: Bacterial small subunit ribosomal RNA
Source: RNAcentral
UAGGGAAGGCAGCAGUGGGGAAUAUUGCACAAUGGGCGCAAGCCUGAUGCAGCCAUGCCGCGUGUAUGAAGAAGGCCUUCGGGUUGUAAAGUACUUUCAGUCGUGAGGAAGGUGUUAAGGUUAAUAACCUUAGCAAUUGACGUUAGCGACAGAAGAAGCACCGGCUAACUCCGUGCCAGCAGCCGCGGUAAUACGGAGGGUGCGAGCGUUAAUCGGAAUUACUGGGCGUAAAGGGCACGCAGGCGGUUAAUUAAGUUGGAUGUGAAAUCCCCGGGCUUAACCUGGGAAUGGCAUUCAAGACUGGUUAGCUAGAGUCUUGUAGAGGGGGUAGAAUUCCAUGUGUAGCGGUGAAAUGCGUAGAGAUGUGGAGGAAUACCGGUGGCGAAGGCGGCCCCUGGACAAAGACUGACGCUCAUGUGCGAAAGCGUGGGGA